AACGAACGCUGGCGGCAUGCCUAACACAUGCAAGUCGAACGAGACCUUCGGGUCUAGUGGCGCACGGGUGCGUAACACGUGGGAAUCUGCCCUUUGCUUCGGAAUAACAGUUAGAAAUGACUGCUAAUACCGGAUGAUGUCGAAAGACCAAAGAUUUAUCGGCAAAGGAUGAGCCCGCGUAGGAUUAGGUAGUUGGUGGGGUAAAGGCCUACCAAGCCGACGAUCCUUAGCUGGUCUGAGAGGAUGAUCAGCCACACUGGGACUGAGACACGGCCCAGACUCCUACGGGAGGCAGCAGUGGGGAAUAUUGGACAAUGGGCGAAAGCCUGAUGCAGCAAUGCCGCGUGAGUGAUGAAGGCCUUAGGGUUGUAAAGCUCUUUUACCAGGGAUGAUAAUGACAGUACCUGGAGAAUAAGCUCCGGCUAACUCCGUG
Molecule: ribosomal RNA, 433 nt
Filed under: uncultured bacterium
Lineage: Bacteria
Description: partial 16S ribosomal RNA
Rfam family: Bacterial small subunit ribosomal RNA
Source: RNAcentral